UGCUCGCAGGUAUCCUAUAAGUAAGCAUACAGAUGGCGCACGGCAGCACGGGUGCGUAACACGUGGGUAAUCUGCCCUUCGAUGGGGAAUAACCUCGCGAAAGCGAGGCUAAUUCCGCAUAAUAUUCCUAAGACUUCGGUCCCUGGAUUCAAAGCCGUAAGACGUCGAUGGAGGAACCCGCGCACGAUUAGCUAGUUGGUGAGGUAACGGCUCACCAAGGCUAUGAUCGUUAGCUGGUCUGAGAGGAUGGCCAGCCACACUGGAACUGAGACACGGUCCAGACUCCUACGGGAGGCAGCAGUGGGGAAUCUUGCGCAAUGGGCGAAAGCCUGACGCAGCGACGCCGCGUGGAGGAUGAAGCAUUUCGGUGUGUAAACUCCUUUCGACUGGGACGAAUACCUCGCAAGAGGGGUGACGGUACCAGUAGAAGAAGCCCCGGCUAACUACGUGCCAGCAGCCGCGGUAAGACGUAGGGGGCCAGCGUUGUUCGGAAUUACUGGGUGUAAAGGGUUCGUAGGCGGUGUGGCAAGUUGGGAGUGAAAUCUCUGGGCUUAACCCAGAGGCUGCUUCCAAAACUGCUGUGCUUGAGUGUGGGAGAGGUGCGUGGAAUUGCAGGUGUAGCGGUGAAAUGCGUAGAUAUCUGCAGGAACACCCGUGGCGAAAGCGGCGCACUGGACCACAACUGACGCUGAGGAACGAAAGCUAGGGGAGCAAACAGGAUUAGAUACCCUGGUAGUCCUAGCCCUAAACGAUCAGGACUUGGGGUGGCUCACGUUCGUGAGUCGUCCCGGAGCUAACGCGUUUAAGUCCUGCACCUGGGGAGUACGGUCGCAAGACUGAAACUCAAAGGAAUUGACGGGGGCCCGCACAAGCGGUGGAACAUGUGGUUCAAUUCGACGCUACGCGAGGAAC
Molecule: ribosomal RNA, 912 nt
Filed under: uncultured soil bacterium
Lineage: Bacteria
Description: bacterial SSU rRNA
Rfam family: Bacterial small subunit ribosomal RNA
Source: RNAcentral